RNAcentral lists this ribosomal RNA (468 nucleotides) under uncultured bacterium. RNAcentral's name for it is "partial 16S ribosomal RNA". It matches the Rfam family "Bacterial small subunit ribosomal RNA", at positions 28 to 507 of the family's 1533-position model. The record is from RNAcentral.
GACGAACGCUGGCGGCGUGCUUAACACAUGCAAGUCGAACGGAAAGGCCCUUCUUUUGUGGGGUGCUCGAGUGGCGAACGGGUGAGUAACACGUGAGUAACCUGCCCUUGACUUUGGUAUAACUUCAGGAAACUGGGGCUAAUACCGGAUAGGAGCUCCUGCUGCAUGGUGGGGGUUGGAAAGUUUCGGCGGUUGGGGAUGGACUCGCGGCUUCUCCGCUUGUUGGUGGGGUAGUGUCUUACCAAGGCUUUGACGGGUAGCCGGCCUGAGAGGGUGACCGGCAAAAUUGGGACUGAGAAACGGCCCAGACUCCUACGGGAGGCAGAAGGGGGGAAUAUGGCAAAAUGGGCGGAAGCCUGAGGCAGCAACGCCGGGUGCGGGAUGACGGCCUUGGGGUGGUAAACCGCUUUGGCCAGUGACGAAGCGUGAGUGACGGUAAUGGGUAAAGAAGCACCGGCUAACUACGUG